AAAAGAGGGGGGAAAAGCGCUCAACUCUCCCCCAAGCCGCGGCGCGCACCCGUCGGCGCCGAGCGCGCAGCCUGCUCCGCCGCCGCCUCUCGGUCCCGCCGCCGCCGCCGCCACCGCCGGGCAGGUUUACAAAUUGCUGUGUUUUCAAAUUUGCAGUUGUUUCCACAGACCACAUUUCGUGUUUACCAAUUCUUCAUAUCAUGCAGGUAUGAUCAGCGUCAACAGCAACAUUUCAAUUUGAAAAGGAAAGAUAGUACUGGAGUGGAGAAACAAAGAGGGAAGGACUCACAGGACUUAGACUCCUCCGUGCCUGCGUCCAGAGUGAGACAAAGAGGGAUAGGGCCUUAGCUUCUUAUUGCAGAGGUGAGUAAAGGAUCGGCAAACAGGACCCGCAAGAAAGAUUAAAGCACCUAUCUAGAGAAGGGAUACUGUCUUCAGCUGGUGUGCACCCGGAGUUCUUUCACACGCACCAGGGGAAGUACACCUCCACUGAAGAUCAACAUGAGGAACUGGAGGAUGUCGUCACACACGGGAGUCGUUUUCCCCAGUCUGAUCUUCAGUGUACUGCCAAGGAGAGUUGUGGGCUCUCCACAGGACUGAUUUUAAAAUCUCUGCAACCAAAGCAGGCUUGGCAAGUCACCUGUUCACCCACUGAUACCCUUCUUGAAAUAUGCCUUCCUUAUAUAAGACUGAGUGGACAGAGGGUUUGAACUUAGUCCAAAUUCUCUAGAGGACUUCGGUGAUCAUGAAUUUUGGACAACAUACAGUACAGUUCGUCUAACCCAGGCGUCCUCAAACUUUGUAAACGGGGCCAGUUCACUGUCCCUCAGACCGUUGGAGGGCCGGACUAUAGUUUAAAAAAGAAACAAACUAUGAACAAAUUCCUAUGCACACUGCACAUAUCUUAUUUUGAAGUAAAAAACAAAAUGGGAACAAAUACAAUUCACACCGCUUCAUGCGGCCCGCGGGCUGCAGUUUGAGGACUAAACAAUGAGCCAGAGAAACUGUCCUUGUUCUUGGAAGCCUGAAAAUGCUUUCUUUUCCAUUAGUUCUUGUUUCUAAAUAGUUUCAAGGACUUCAGUUACACAAAAAAAGUAGCAAAUAUCGGAUUGUUUGCAGGUAAAAUUUAAGAUACAACCUGUAACUAGUAAUUUAAACAUUACAAUUUUAGAAGUUUUGUUAAAGGAUAGGCUUACAUGAUAGGGAUGGCCUUUCUCAGAGACAAAGAUGAAACACAUGAAUCCUCCUGCCUUACUAUAUUUUGACGUGUAGCCUUCAUUAAUAUGAAAUGCAUACAUGUUUAAGACAACAACUCCCCAGCCUCCCACUCAAAUAGAUAGUUGCUGCUGAAGUCCCACUCUUCCUGUGCAGUCUUCCAGGGAUGAUUAGGUAAACGUGACUCAGUUUACCCAAGAAUCGGGUACUCACUGUUUCCUUUGUCCAAAAGUUUACUUACACUUGACCUUUACAUUGUGUGAUUGGCUGUCCACCCAUGCAUUGCUUUGCUUCCACUCUGUCCCUAAUGGCCUCUGACUAUGCCUGUCGGUAUUAGUGUGCCUGAUACCGAUUUUAAGUUUGUAGAGGGAAAGGACAGAAUCUCUUUUGACCCCCAUAGAUCACCAAUUCUCACCAAUUACUCUUUGUUCUAAAUUGUAUCUCCCAUUUCAUUUCACAUGUUGAAGCUCUAGCCUCUGAGGUGUGAUGUUUGAAGAUGGGGCCUUUGAAAGAUAAUUAAGUGGAGAGGAGGUCCCAAGAAUGGGAUUGAUCCUCUCAGAGGAGAUGCUGGAGAGCUUGCUCGUUCUCUCCCCAGAGGGCACAGUGUAUGAGGGCACAGUGAGAAGGCAGCCUUCUACAAACCAGGAGAAACGCCUUUACUAGGAAGGCAUUGCGCUGGCACCUAGAUCUUAGACUUCCAGUCUCUAGAAUUGUGAGAAAAUAAAUUCCUGGUUAAAGCCACACACUCUAUGGUAUUUUGUUAUAAGAGCCCAAGCUGACAAAGACAACAACUGAGCAAUUGUAUCCUUAGUCCUGGAAAGGGUUAAUUUAGGAAGCUACUCAUACAAAUUCAAGGUAUCAAAAUAUGUAAACACUUCUACAUAAUUAAGAGAUCUUGGGAAGAGUUACAGUGGUCACAUUCUCCAUGCUGCCUCAUCUGCGUGGUGACAUCUAACAUCACUUUUAGUUAAGGCAACCUUCAAGGGCCCCCUGUAUGUCAGGUGGUGGAGUUAGCAGUACAGUAACACUUGCUGGCUGAUGUCCUCCCUGUCGUCUUCCCUUCCCUCUCCUUCUUGGGUGCUUUGCACAUUUAUGUUUUCUUCUUCUUCUUUUUUUUUUUAGAAACAGGGUCUUGCUAUGUUGUCCAGGCUAGUCUCAGACUCCUAUGUCCAAGUAAUCUCCCACCUCCACCUUUCCAAUAGCUGGGACUACAGGUGCACCACCGUACCCAACUUGCCCAUUUAUGUUUUCUGCAUGGCCUCGAAAUACAUUUGCAAUCUCUACAACAGACAUUAGCCAGAGAAUGAACAGGAUUUAAGCCAAGGGAAUAGCAUGAACAAAGUCAGAGAGGCCUUAAAGAUGAACAAAAGUUGAAAACAACUGGAGAUUUGCCAUAGUUUUUAACGUGCCGAGAUGGGAGUAGGAGAGGUAAGGAUGUACGCAGUACAGGGAAGGGAGCAGUGAGAGGAGAGGUCAGAGGUCAUUCAGAUCAUUGACACUGUGUGUGUCUAACUGAAGAGCUGGAACUUCGUUUUAAUGGAGUUGGGGAAUCUUGAAGGGUUUUAACAUACGAACUGGCUGUGAUAUAUUUGUAUUAUAAUAUUUUAUGAACAAUGGGCUUUUUACACACUGUUUCUCUUUUAGUAGGGACUCCAUAAGCAAUUGCACGAGGUACUUAACUACAGAAGGAGAGACCAGAUACUUCUUUUUCUGAUAUUUUGUUAAUCUGCUGUCUUAAUAUCUGUGGUACAUAAAUAUACUCAGAAAAAUAUUUAAUUACACAUUGUGACCCUGUGUCAUCUACCUUUCUCACCACUUUAUAUGUUCCAGUCUCAAAAUCUCCAUCCUCUUAGCCCCAACCUCAACAUUUUAAAUUAUAGAAAACUACGUAGACAGGACUUCAGCCCCUUAGUUGCAAUUCUGAAAUUCAAAAAGCACUGAAUAGUGCUUACAGCUACUUUGAGACACAUAGGCAGCAAAACCUAGAGGCUUUAUCUAGUCUGACCUGACAAGAAAGAGGCUCUGUGUAGAAUUUAUUGAUCCUGCUCAAUAAAUAUUCAUAUGUUUUGCUACAGAAAUAUUCCUGUGCUUAAUUAUGGGGGACUACUUAAAUCCCAUG
Molecule: long non-coding RNA, 3334 nt
Organism: Nycticebus coucang (slow loris)
Lineage: Eukaryota; Metazoa; Chordata; Mammalia; Primates; Lorisidae
Exons: 3
Source: RefSeq, a predicted model, not a curated record